Molecule: long non-coding RNA, 1353 nt
Organism: Electrophorus electricus (electric eel)
Lineage: Eukaryota; Metazoa; Chordata; Actinopteri; Gymnotiformes; Gymnotidae
Source: Ensembl
CAGCACUGCCCACCUGAUCAGAACCAGAGAUCAGAACCAAGCUUCCUACAGCAUAUCACGUAGCACACAAGUGUCGAUUUAAUGCUAUAGGGUGGAGCUUGUGGGCUCAUUUCCAGAGGUGAUCCAAUCACAAUGACCCAUUCUUCUAACUUCUUAAAUGUGCCUGUUGACCCCUGGGACAUUAUAGUCCCUGCAUGUGUUACUGAGAAUUGUUGUAAAAAUGAUUACUCUGAUGUUCUGAUACCACAGUUGACCUGUUGAUAUCGACCAUGAACUAAGGAGGUGCUGCACAUUGGUUACUUUGCUCUAGCUUGUGUGUGUGUGUGUGUGUGUGUGUGUGUGUGUGUGUGUGUGUGUGUGUGUGUGUGUGUGUGUGUGUGUGUGUGUGUGUGUGUGUGUGUGUGUGUGUGUGUGUGUGUGUGUGUGUGUGUGUGUGUGUGUGUGUGUGUGUGUGUGUGUGUGUGUGUGUGUGUGUGUGUGUAACUUAUUUUACUUUAUGUAUUGACUAUUAUUGUCUGAUCUUUCUGCAAUGGCACUUGAUAUGUUUUUGUUGUCAUGGUCAUGUUCUUUUGAGCUUCAUAAAAAAGGUUUGAGAAUGUAAAAAAGCCAAAAUGUAUUUUAUUAAUGAAAUUAAAUGACAUUAAAACAUAACUGGUGCCUAAUUUUUGUAACUAAGACCACUAGAGAGAGCUGUUGUGUCCGUCUUUCUGUCUGUCUCUUGCAGCCUCCUCCUCUCCCUUUGUGUCUCUUGUCUUCUCACUUACUCUCUGUAUCAGUCUCUUGUCCUGUCUCACACACUCUCUCUCUUUCUCUGAUGUGCUGACACUUCUGUGACUCUGCUCUGAGCCCUUUCACUGUGGUUAUCAUCAUGGCUGACAUCCUGAUUACGGUGAGAUGGGCAAAACCCCAUGCUAUUCCUCUUUUCAUUUCAGCUGUGCUGAUCUCGUCUGUUCUCCCAGGCCUGUGGCUGCACACAGAAGGUCACUUGCUUUCUUCUUGCACACUCAAUGUGAGCAUUCAGGAUUUAGGCUGUCACCUGCAGUGGAAUUGCCCUGAUGUCAACUCUGACACAGCCUUCACUGUUCAGACAAAGGCUCAAGGGUGUGUGUGUGCGUGUGUGUACGCUAAUCAUGGUUUCAUUCUAAAACUGAUAACUUUGAUCACUGGAAGUGAUUUAGAUAAGAUCAACCCAGUGAGUAUGGCAGUGCUAUACCAAACCACAUACCAUCAGCAAAACAAAACUCGCAUGAGGCUGUUCAAUACUUGCAUGUGUGAAGAGCCCAUGAGCACCUGGACAGGACAGGGUGUGAGCUAAAGCAUAACCUGCACCUUGGGCUUGAAGAUGAAACUUGG